Molecule: non-coding RNA, 45 nt
Organism: Schistosoma mansoni
Lineage: Eukaryota; Metazoa; Platyhelminthes; Trematoda; Strigeidida; Schistosomatidae
Source: Rfam
AUCAAUCUGACUAGUCUCAAAUAGGAUGAAACGCGCGUCCUGGAU